AGCCCUGCAGACCUCCACAGACUUGCUGGUUUGGAUGCAUGUGCCGACAUUUGUUGACACUGCUUAUUUAGAAUGUAAUGUGAAAAUGUAAAUGAGUUUGUUAAAGAGUCUAUAUACAUUUUUUAAAUGCAAUUAUUUAUAUACCUUAUUGCCUAGUAAGAUAUAUGACUUAAUAUAUCCCCACAAUGGAAUUUACUUGGGUUUUUAGGGAACUCAUACAUUUCCUUAAGCAUCAUUGAAGCUAUAGAAUUUAAUGUUCAACCUUAACAUGUGAUAACUAUGCAACAGAACAGAUGAACAGGAAUGACAUUUAUUCUCAAGGUUGGCUAUAACUAUCUGAAUGCCACACCCCUACUAAACUGCAACUCGUCUUCUGAUCUCACCCGCUGGGUCGUAUCUCAACAACCCAGCACCGAUAGAUGGAUUAUCUGACAACAUCACCAAAACGAUGCCCAUGCUUCCAUGGGGCAGAAGUCCGUGUGUUGUUGGAAAUCUGGAUGGCCAGAUUGCUAGGAAGAAUGACAAGAAACUGCCAUGUUGGGAAUCGUGACGUCAAACAUGUGAUUUUGUCUCUCUCUGGGCUAAUCUGCCCAUCUGCCUUGAAGCUGUGGUGUGAACACAUGCAUACGAGCACGCAAUGUGCAGUGUGAACAGGACCAGGUGUUGGGCUAACUGCACUGAACCAGCUCACUGCACUGAAACACAUGCAUACUAUACUCUGAUGCAGUAUACACACUUUACAGCACAUCUAUACACACAGCAAAUUGGCCAGUGUUACCUAGUGUUGAUUUUUAGGAUUGUUUUUAACAUCUAUGUUUUUGCAUGUUCAUUGAUUGACUGAUUAAACUUAUUCUAUAUAAAGAUAAAUAACAUACAUUUUUCUAAACUAAUCCAAUCAGUGAGUUAGAUGUAUUGCACCCAUUACUGAAAUGGUGUUGACAGUCAUUCUGAAUGCAGGUUGCCUGUGAAUAUACAUUCCAGCUGUUGGAUAUCCUAACUCUGACUGGAUUACAAAAGGAACUACACAUCACUUGGCAAGCCAGCAAAAUGUGACUUGCAGGCCUGAUGUGGCCUGUAAACCAGGAAGUUCAUAACAUCAUUAUGGUAAAACUUGGCCAUAAAAGUGAGAACUUGAUAUAUUUAAUCUAUUGUCAUAAAAGUUUAAUUUUAACAGGUAACAUUCAUCUACAGGAGCAAAAAAUUAACAAUUAAAACAACCAUGUCUCUGUCACUAACAAAUACAGUCAUGGGCAGUAACUCUACGGUUUACACAAAAACGAAAGGCACAGUGGGAAAUGUUAUUGAGGCGUGGCUUCGAGUGGGCAUGACUUUCAACACAUUAUUUUUGAUCUACCUGUGAGCGGAAGUGUUGUACCAGUUUAAGUGGGCCAUGAUUACGUAAUUGGCUCCAAGUUUGGAUGUUUUUGGAAGUACUUAAGAGCAUGCUGCAAUGAAGAUGUGUAAAUAUUAUUGUAAUGUCCUAAACCCAACACUGAGUGACCUUCUUUGAGUAAUA
Molecule: long non-coding RNA, 1516 nt
Organism: Oncorhynchus keta (chum salmon)
Lineage: Eukaryota; Metazoa; Chordata; Actinopteri; Salmoniformes; Salmonidae
Exons: 2
Source: RefSeq, a predicted model, not a curated record